RNAcentral lists this ribosomal RNA (254 nucleotides) under uncultured bacterium. RNAcentral describes it as "partial 16S ribosomal RNA". It matches the Rfam family "Bacterial small subunit ribosomal RNA", at positions 524 to 776 of the family's 1533-position model. The record is from RNAcentral.
UACGGGGGGGGCAAGCGUUGUUCGGAAUUACUGGGCGUAAAGGGUUCGUAGGCGGCCUACUAAGUCAGACGUGAAAUCCCUCAGCUUAACUGGGGAACUGCGGCUGAUACUGGUGUGGCUUGAGUGCAGGAGAGGAACGCGGAAUUCCAGGUGUAGCGGUGAAAUGCGUAGAUAUCUGGAGGAACACCGGUGGCGAAGGCAGCGUUCUGGACUGCAACUGACACUGAGGAACGAAAGCCAGGGGAGCAAACGGG